Molecule: non-coding RNA, 73 nt
Organism: Pangasianodon gigas (Mekong giant catfish)
Lineage: Eukaryota; Metazoa; Chordata; Actinopteri; Siluriformes; Pangasiidae
Source: the annotation of a GenBank genome assembly
GCUUGGAAGGCUGUGAGUUCAAAUCCCACCACCUCCAAGUUGCCACUGCUGGGCCCUUGAGCAAGGCCCUUAA